AACAGGAUUAGAUACCCUGGUAGUCCACGCCCUAAACGAUGUCUACUAGUUGUUGGUGGAGUAAAAUCCAUGAGUAACGCAGCUAACGCGUGAAGUAGACCGCCUGGGGAGUACGGUCGCAAGAUUAAAACUCAAAUGAAUUGACGGGGGCCCGCACAAGCGGUGGAUUAUGUGGAUUAAUUCGAUGCAACGCGAAAAACCUUACCUGGCCUUGACAUGUACGGAACUUUCCAGAGAUGGAUUGGUGCUCGAAAGAGAACCGUAACACAGGUGCUGCAUGGCUGUCGUCAGCUCGUGUCGUGAGAUGUUGGGUUAAGUCCCGCAACGAGCGCAACCCUUGCCAAUAAUUGCCAUCAUUUAGUUGGGCACUUUAUUGGGACUGCCGAUGACAAAUCGGAGGAAGGUGGGGAUGACGUCAAGUCCUCAUGGCCCUUAUGGCCAGGGCUUCACACGUAAUACAAUGGUCGGUACAGAGGGUUGCCAACCCGCGAGGGGGAGCCAAUCCCAGAAAGCCGAUCGUAGUCCGGAUUGCAGGCUGCAACUCGCCUGCAUGAAGUCGGAAUCGCUAGUAAUCGCGGAUCAGCAUGUCGCGGUGAAUACGUUCCCGGGCCUUGUACACACCGCCCGUCACACCAUGGGAGUGGGUUUUACCAGAAGUAGUUAGCCUAACCGUAAGGAGGGCGAUUACCACGGUAGUAUUCAUGACUGGGGUGAAGUCGUAACAAGGUAACC
This 732-nucleotide ribosomal RNA is filed under the name uncultured bacterium. RNAcentral's name for it is "bacterial SSU rRNA". It matches the Rfam family "Bacterial small subunit ribosomal RNA", at positions 771 to 1501 of the family's 1533-position model. The record is from RNAcentral.